CCUACGGGUGGCAGCAGUGAGGAAUAUUGGUCAAUGGGCGCGAGCCUGAACCAGCCAAGUAGCGUGAAGGAUGACUGCCCUACGGGUUGUAAACUUCUUUUAUAAGGGAAUAAAGUGAGGAACGUGUGCCUUUUUGUAUGUACUUUAUGAAUAAGGAUCGGCUAACUCCGUGCCAGCAGCCGCGGUAAUACGGAGGAUCCGAGCGUUAUCCGGAUUUAUUGGGGUUAAAGGGAGCGUAGGUGGGUUGUUAAGUCAGGUGUGAAAGUUUGGGGCUCAACCGUAAAAUUGCAGUUGAUACUGGCAGACUUGAGUACAGUUGAGGUAGGCGGAAUGCGUGGUGUAGCGGUGAAAUGCUUAGAUAUCACGCAGAACUCCGAUUGCGAAGGCAGCUUACUAAACUGUAACUGACACUGAAGCACGAAAGCGUGGGUAUCAAACAGGAUUAGAUACCCCAGUAGUC
This 460-nucleotide ribosomal RNA is filed under the name uncultured bacterium. Its description in RNAcentral is "partial 16S ribosomal RNA". It matches the Rfam family "Bacterial small subunit ribosomal RNA", at positions 338 to 795 of the family's 1533-position model. The record is from RNAcentral.